AAUGUUUGACAUCGUUGACUUUUUGUCCAACGUUUGACCAUUCGUCUUAUUCAAAAAAUUUAUGUAAUUAUUAUUUAUUUUAUUGUGAUUUGAUUCUUCAUCAAAUGUUCUUUAAGUAUGACAUAAAUAUUUUUAUAUUUGCACAAAAUUUUUAAAUAAAAUGAAUGGUCAAACGUUGGUCGAAAAAUCAACAGCGCCAUACAUU
This is a non-coding RNA of Oryza glaberrima (African rice), 205 nucleotides long. The record is from Rfam. Lineage: Eukaryota; Viridiplantae; Streptophyta; Magnoliopsida; Poales; Poaceae.